This 1884-nucleotide unclassified non-coding RNA is filed under the name Caenorhabditis elegans. Its description in RNAcentral is "Non-coding transcript of protein-coding gene unc-78". Lineage: Eukaryota; Metazoa; Nematoda; Chromadorea; Rhabditida; Rhabditidae. The record is from RNAcentral.
AUGUCGGAAUUCUCUCAAACCGCAUUGUUCCCGUCUUUGCCUCGCACUGCUAGAGGAACUGCCGUAGUUCUCGGCAACACCCCCGCUGGAGACAAGAUUCAAUAUUGUAACGGAACAUCGGUUUAUACUGUACCAGUUGGAAGCCUAACCGACACCGAAAUCUACACUGAGCAUUCUCACCAAACGACUGUCGCCAAGACAAGCCCAAGUGGUUAUUAUUGUGCUUCUGGUGAUGUUCAUGGAAAUGUUCGUAUCUGGGACACAACUCAAACCACCCACAUUCUGAAAACUACUAUUCCGGUGUUCUCUGGACCAGUGAAGGAUAUUUCGUGGGAUAGCGAAAGUAAGAGAAUUGCCGCCGUUGGAGAAGGCAGAGAACGUUUCGGUCAUGUUUUCUUGUUUGACACUGGAACGUCUAAUGGAAAUCUUACCGGACAAGCUCGCGCUAUGAACAGCGUCGACUUCAAGCCAUCACGCCCAUUCCGCAUUAUCUCUGGAUCUGAUGAUAAUACAGUGGCGAUUUUUGAAGGACCACCAUUCAAAUUUAAAAGUACUUUCGGAGAACAUACGAAAUUCGUCCACUCUGUGCGCUACAACCCUGAUGGCUCUCUGUUCGCCUCGACUGGAGGAGAUGGAACCAUUGUGUUAUACAACGGAGUUGAUGGAACAAAAACCGGAGUCUUUGAAGAUGACUCUUUGAAAAAUGUCGCUCAUUCUGGAUCUGUGUUUGGCCUUACCUGGAGCCCGGAUGGUACAAAAAUCGCAUCGGCUUCUGCUGAUAAGACCAUUAAAAUUUGGAAUGUGGCUACAUUAAAGGUUGAAAAGACUAUUCCCGUUGGAACUAGAAUUGAAGAUCAACAACUUGGAAUCAUUUGGACCAAGCAGGCUCUUGUGUCUAUCUCUGCUAAUGGAUUUAUCAAUUUUGUCAAUCCAGAAUUGGGAAGUAUCGAUCAGGUUAGAUACGGACACAACAAGGCGAUUACUGCACUUAGCAGCAGCGCUGAUGGAAAAACUCUUUUCAGUGCUGAUGCUGAAGGACAUAUUAACUCCUGGGAUAUUUCCACAGGAAUAUCAAACCGCGUGUUUCCGGAUGUUCACGCCACAAUGAUCACCGGAAUCAAGACAACCAGCAAGGGUGAUUUGUUCACCGUCAGUUGGGAUGAUCAUCUGAAGGUUGUUCCUGCCGGAGGUUCUGGAGUCGAUUCUUCCAAAGCUGUUGCCAACAAAUUAUCUUCGCAACCUCUCGGUCUCGCCGUUUCCGCAGAUGGAGAUAUUGCAGUUGCUGCUUGCUAUAAGCAUAUUGCAAUUUACUCUCAUGGAAAGCUCACGGAAGUACCAAUUAGCUACAAUUCUUCCUGUGUGGCAUUAUCGAACGAUAAGCAAUUUGUUGCUGUUGGUGGACAAGACUCGAAGGUCCAUGUGUACAAACUCUCUGGAGCAAGUGUCUCUGAAGUUAAAACAAUUGUCCAUCCUGCUGAAAUCACAUCUGUCGCAUUUUCGAAUAAUGGAGCUUUCCUCGUGGCAACCGAUCAAUCACGAAAGGUUAGUUUUUGAAAAAAAAUCAUUUCUAUUAUAGAUUUCAAAAUUCAGGUUAUCCCGUACUCUGUUGCGAACAACUUCGAGCUAGCUCACACAAACUCCUGGACUUUCCAUACCGCCAAGGUUGCAUGUGUUUCCUGGUCACCGGACAAUGUCCGUUUGGCGACCGGUUCCUUGGAUAACAGCGUUAUUGUAUGGAACAUGAACAAACCAUCUGAUCAUCCGAUCAUCAUUAAAGGUGCUCAUGCUAUGUCGUCUGUCAAUUCGGUAAUUUGGCUCAACGAAACUACAAUUGUGUCGGCCGGACAAGAUUCGAAUAUCAAGUUCUGGAAUGUACCUUUUUAA